UGAAAAUUUUUAAGUUUUAUAUGUAUGCAUAAACAUAUGCUAAAACUAUAUAGUGGAUAUUCAAAUAAAAGCCACAGUAAAAUACACAUUGCUGUUAAUCCUCCUCAAAAUAUUUCCUCUUAUUUGAACACAAUUAUGCUAUCAUCAUGACCCCUUUUUUUUUCAGUACCAGGAAUCAAACUCAGGGUCUUGCACUUGCCAGGCAGGCACUGUGUCACUGAGCUACAUCUCCAGGCAGUCUUGCCCUUUCUGAAGGAUUCUGGGAGUCCUCUUCUAAACCUCUGCCAUGCAGACACGGAAUAUCCAGAUGAGGAUUAGCACAGCUAUGCAGAGCAAGUGCCUUGCACAGCCCAGAGUCUGCCAUCAAAAGCAAUCACUGGAUGUGUCCCCUUGACCUUGGACCACAACUGUGAACCAAG
This is a long non-coding RNA of Chinchilla lanigera (long-tailed chinchilla), 419 nucleotides long. RefSeq lists it as uncharacterized. The record is from RefSeq and is a predicted model, not a curated record. NCBI's taxonomy places the organism in Eukaryota, Metazoa, Chordata, Mammalia, Rodentia, Chinchillidae. The transcript is spliced from 3 exons.